UACAGAGGUCCCAAGCGUUGUUCGGAUUCAUUGGGCGUAAAGCGUGCGUAGGUGGUUCGUUAAGUCUGAUGUGAAAGCCCUGGGCUCAACCUGGGAAUGGCAUUGGAAACUGGCGACCUAGAGUGCGGUAGAGGGUAGUGGAAUUCCCGGUGUAGCAGUGAAAUGCGUAGAGAUCGGGAGGAACAUCUGUGGCGAAGGCGACUGCCUGGACCAGCACUGACACUGAGGCACGAAAGCGUGGGGAGCAAACAGG
RNAcentral lists this ribosomal RNA (253 nucleotides) under uncultured bacterium. Its description in RNAcentral is "partial 16S ribosomal RNA". It matches the Rfam family "Bacterial small subunit ribosomal RNA", at positions 524 to 776 of the family's 1533-position model. The record is from RNAcentral.